AUUGAACGCUGGCGGCAUGCCUUACACAUGCAAGUCGAACGGUAACAGGUCUUCGGAUGCUGACGAGUGGCGAACGGGUGAGUAAUACAUCGGAACGUGCCUAGUAGUAGGGGAUAACUACUCGAAAGAGUGGCUAAUACCGCAUGAGAUCUAAGGAUGAAAGCAGGGGAUCGCAAGACCUAGUGCUACUAGUGCGGCCGAUGGCAGAUUAGGUAGUUUGUGGGAUAAAAGCUUACCAAGCCGACAAUCUGUAGCUGGUCUGAGAGGACGAUCAGCCACACUGGGACUGAGACACGGCCCAGACUCCUACGGGAGGCAGCAGUGGGGAAUUUUGGACAAUGGGCGAAAGCCUGAUCCAGCAAUGCCGCGUGCAGGAUGAAGGCCUUCGGGUUGUAAACUGCUUUUGUACGGAACGAAAAGCCCCGGGUUAAUACCCUGGGGUCAUGACGGUACCGUAAGAAUAAGCACCGGCUAACUACGUGCCAGCCGCCGCAGUAA
RNAcentral lists this ribosomal RNA (498 nucleotides) under uncultured bacterium. Its description in RNAcentral is "partial 16S ribosomal RNA". It matches the Rfam family "Bacterial small subunit ribosomal RNA", at positions 30 to 523 of the family's 1533-position model. The record is from RNAcentral.